GAUGAACGCUGGCGGCGUGCCUAAUACAUGCAAGUCGAGCGAACAGACGAGGAGCUUGCUCCUCUGACGUUAGCGGCGGACGGGUGAGUAACACGUGGAUAACCUACCUAUAAGACUGGGAUAACUUCGGGAAACCGGAGCUAAUACCGGAUAAUAUAUGGAACCGCAUGGUUCAAUAGUGAAAGACGGUUUUGCUGUCACUUAUAGAUGGAUCCGCGCCGCAUUAGCUAGUUGGUAAGGUAACGGCUUACCAAGGCAACGAUGCGUAGCCGACCUGAGAGGGUGAUCGGCCACACUGGAACUGAGACACGGUCCAGACUCCUACGGGAGGCAGCAGUAGGGAAUCUUCCGCAAUGGGCGAAAGCCUGACGGAGCAACGCCGCGUGAGUGAUGAAGGUCUUCGGAUCGUAAAACUCUGUUAUUAGGGAAGAACAAAUGUGUAAGUAACUAUGCACGUCUUGACGGUACCUAAUCAGAAAGCCACGGCUAACUACGUG
This 497-nucleotide ribosomal RNA is filed under the name uncultured bacterium. RNAcentral describes it as "partial 16S ribosomal RNA". It matches the Rfam family "Bacterial small subunit ribosomal RNA", at positions 28 to 507 of the family's 1533-position model. The record is from RNAcentral.